GGGCUAUUAGCUCAGGUGGUUAGAGUGCGCCCCUGAUAAGGGUGAGGUCCCUGGUUCAAGUCCAGGAUGGCCCA
Molecule: transfer RNA, 74 nt
Filed under: Neotessella volvocina
Lineage: Eukaryota; Synurophyceae; Synurales; Neotessellaceae
Description: tRNA-Ile
Rfam family: tRNA
About the family: Transfer RNA (tRNA) molecules are approximately 80 nucleotides in length. Their secondary structure includes four short double-helical elements and three loops (D, anti-codon, and T loops).
Source: RNAcentral